Molecule: long non-coding RNA, 1238 nt
Organism: Puntigrus tetrazona (Sumatra barb)
Lineage: Eukaryota; Metazoa; Chordata; Actinopteri; Cypriniformes; Cyprinidae
Exons: 3
Source: RefSeq, a predicted model, not a curated record
UCUAGCUGCAGUGACAAAAUCUUUAAAAACAACAACAACAAACAGCAAGUUACCUGAGCACUUUCCAAACACCAUUAUGCUGCAGAAAUGCUGGAACAACAACACACACAACGAGACGUCCUUUUGAAAGCAGAUCUGAAUGAAGCCUGGAAGCAGAUCGCGUUUGGAUUGGGUUUUUGUGCCCGGGCUGAGGGAAAAUGAAGCGGUGGAAAAACAGAACAGAAUCUGCCAGGGAACUCACAGUGCUUUCCUUGAAUAAGAAUCAAACGUUAAUCUACCAGUCGGGAGGACGCAUUAUUGCUUUUUUUCAGUUCACAUAGAAGGUGUUUGAGAUGAGAUUGGGCGAAUGGUAUGUUUUACCAUGCAUGAAAAUGGAAUACGUUGAAAGUUACGCACGCAUUCUAGUGGAGGAAACGUCUGAACCGCUGUGAAAUGCAGAAAUGAAAACUAUUACUUCCCCGGAUUGGCCAUUUGCAUUCCUCUUGCUUUUUUUUUUUUUUUUUUUGAGGCUAUUGAGCCAGUUUUGCUCUUUCAUUUCCCCCUUCUUCGGAAUGAAUGGAAUGUCCUUUUAUCAAAUAAAUCAACCCUGCGGAUUAAAUUCUCUCCGGGGACUCUUGCGGUACGUGCCCUGCUGGUUAUGAAUUCCUGGCAAAGACACAGGUGCUCUUGACCCAACACAAGACAAGCGGUAUUCAGACGCCCAAAUUACCGCCUGCCCAAACCAACAGGAUCUGCCCCCGCCAAGUCAUUUGCAUUUUUAAAAGAGACACAUUAAUCAACGCUUUGUGGACCUGCGCUGGCACAUUCAUCUUCCUCUCCUAAACAACAAAUAAUGCACAUCAGGAUGAAACUGCGCACAUAUGACACAUGUAUACAUAAAAACCAACUGAUUUGCAUCCCAUUAGCAUACUGAAAUGAUCCAUUUGACACAUUCAUUCAAUAGAAUUUGGUUGGGGGUGGUCCAUUAUGCUUUCAUCGUGGAGUUCAACAGAUGAUUUUGUGUACAGGCAUGCUUUGUGGCCUGUUAAGUGCUGAAUGUUGUUAGCUCAUUAUGAAAAAUGCCUCACAAGUUCACUUUAUACCCAGCAUUAGAAGUACACAUACUUUUUGAAGUACUGUUAUGAUUGCAUAUGUUUGUUAAACUUUAUCACUGAAGACUGAUGUGUUGCACUGGACUGUUUUUUUUCAUCUCAGGGCCAGGAAAGAUCAUUAGUUCUGUAAAAGCAAUUACUCUUAGA